This 27-nucleotide unclassified non-coding RNA is filed under the name Mus musculus (house mouse). RNAcentral describes it as "oocyte_clustered_small_RNA10248". The record is from RNAcentral. Lineage: Eukaryota; Metazoa; Chordata; Mammalia; Rodentia; Muridae.
UUGCACUUCUCCACUUUCCGAGGCAGC